Molecule: unclassified non-coding RNA, 240 nt
Filed under: soil metagenome
Description: partial contains 5.8S ribosomal RNA, internal transcribed spacer 2, and large subunit ribosomal RNA
Source: RNAcentral
AACACUGUUAACCUGCGGUACCUGCGGAGGGAUCAUUACAGAGUUCGUGCCCUCGCGGGUAGAUCUCCCACCCUUGUGUAUUUUCUACAUCUUGUUGCUUUGGCAGGCCGUUGGUUCGCCAACCACCGGCUCGCGGGCUGGUGCGUGCCUGCCAGAGGACCUCUCAAACUCGGUUUGUUAGUGUCGUCUGAGUACCAUAACAAUCGUUAAAACUUUCAACAACGGAUCUCAGAUCGGAAG